RNAcentral lists this ribosomal RNA (164 nucleotides) under uncultured bacterium. RNAcentral's name for it is "partial 16S ribosomal RNA". It matches the Rfam family "Bacterial small subunit ribosomal RNA", at positions 355 to 511 of the family's 1533-position model. The record is from RNAcentral.
UAGGGAAUCUUCCACAAUGGGCGAAAGCCUGAUGGAGCAACGCCGCGUGUGUGAUGAAGGGUUUCGGCUCGUAAAACACUGUUGUAAGAGAAGAAUGACAUUGAGAGUAACUGUUCAAUGUGUGACGGUAUCUUACCAGAAAGGAACGGCUAAAUACGUGCGAG